AGAAUAGUAGUUAAAAUUAUAAUAUUUAUUUUGCAAAUAAAAGUUAUUAUAUAAAAUUUAUUUUA
Molecule: transfer RNA, 65 nt
Filed under: Taeniogonalos tricolor
Lineage: Eukaryota; Metazoa; Arthropoda; Insecta; Hymenoptera; Trigonalidae
Description: tRNA-Ala
Source: RNAcentral